RNAcentral lists this unclassified non-coding RNA (223 nucleotides) under Hevea brasiliensis (rubber tree). The record is from RNAcentral. Lineage: Eukaryota; Viridiplantae; Streptophyta; Magnoliopsida; Malpighiales; Euphorbiaceae.
UCUACAGAUGUUGUUGGAGAGUUGUGUGUUAGAAGCCCUUGCCUGUUUAAAGAAUACUGGAAACAGCCUAAGAUAACAAAGGAAUCCUUCACUGAUGAUGGCUUCUUCAAGACUGGGGACACAGUUACAGUGGAUGCUGAUGGGUACUACAUAAUUUUGGGACGUUCGAAUGCUGACAUUAUGAAAGUAGGUGGCUAUAAACUAUCAGCAUUGGAUAUUGAAG